CCUACGGGCGGCUGCAGUGGGGAAUAUUGCACAAUGGGCGCAAGCCUGAUGCAGCCAUGCCGCGUGUGUGAAGAAGGCCUUCGGGUUGUAAAGCACUUUCAGCGGGGAGGAAGGCGUUAAGGUUAAUAACCUUGUCGAUUGACGUUACCCGCAGAAGAAGCACCGGCUAACUCCGUGCCAGCAGCCGCGGUAAUACGGAGGGUGCAAGCGUUAAUCGGAAUUACUGGGCGUAAAGCGCACGCAGGCGGUCUGUCAAGUCGGAUGUGAAAUCCCCGGGCUCAACCUGAGAACUGCAUUCGAAACUGGCAGGCUAGAGUCUUGUAGAGGGGGGUAGAAUUCCAGGUGUAGCGGUGAAAUGCGUAGAGAUCUGGAGGAAUACCGGUGGCGAAGGCGGCCCCCUGGACAAAGACUGACGCUCAGGUGCGAAAGCGUGGGGAGCAAACAGGAUUAGAUACCCCAGUAGUC
Molecule: ribosomal RNA, 465 nt
Filed under: uncultured Klebsiella sp.
Lineage: Bacteria; Pseudomonadati; Pseudomonadota; Gammaproteobacteria; Enterobacterales; Enterobacteriaceae
Description: bacterial SSU rRNA
Rfam family: Bacterial small subunit ribosomal RNA
Source: RNAcentral